This is a long non-coding RNA of Parus major (Great Tit), 2862 nucleotides long. Lineage: Eukaryota; Metazoa; Chordata; Aves; Passeriformes; Paridae. The record is from Ensembl.
CUUCAGUUUUCAGGUGUUAGUACAAGUAACAAUCAAAGCCAUUUUAGGGAACCGUUAUCCUUUUGAGUCCAUCAGCAAACUCAUGUGAACACGGAUGCACAAUUCACUGGGAAUCUUAGAGGUCUUACAACGUUAAUGAUUCAACGAAAACUCAUGAAUAUGAGCUCCCACCUGAUAAGAUGCUUGGGGUAAGUGACUGUCAGUUGUUAUCUGUUCAUGGGGAAGUUGUUUGGUGACCUGGUGUUACCAGGGGAGAUGCCAAGCUGUUAUUGGGACUUGUUCUGGGCUGUGUUUCUCCACCAGAGUACAGUCACUGUGGUCACUAAUACUUGGUGUGCAGCCAAGCCUGUGCUUAAGCAGCAUGUGGUUACUUUUUGUUUUUUGUCUCUCAAAUUUCAAUUCUUCACAGACAAGGAGCUUUGAGAUGUCAUUUGUGUUCUGGAUUUGCUGCUUGCAACAAAGGACUGCUCCAAACAGAACAGCACUGCUCAGCCACAAACAUGUGCUAUUCACAGGUCUGCGUUUCUCACUCUUGUAAAAAUUUGAUCUACUUCAGUAUUGGUCAAGGAGCACAUGAAGACCAUUUGGAUGAAUUCAUACAAAAAUCAAUUGGAAUUGCUACAGAUCAGUCUACCCCACUUAUAAUGACCUUAGUAGGAGACAAAUGCAAGAAGCCUUGGUGUGUUGAAUGUAAACCACUAUCACAGAAGAAAAUUGGAGUAUGAGGUUCUGUAAGUGAAGCAGAAGCCUGGACUGUAACUCUCAGUGGUGCUGCUCUGCCCUCUGCAGACUGGAUUGUAUAAUCACAUACUAACCUCAUCGCUUACUUUCAAAGCACAUCUCACUCAACAGAAAAAGAAGUCAUCAAAGCAAACGAUGCACACAUGAACAUCACUGUGACACUGCAAGUCCUAAAUAAGUCAGGAGUAUUCCUGAGGCAGCACCUGGUUUCUGAGUAUCCUCACCAUGUCCACACUGCCAGUUAAGGUGGGGAAAUUAUUGCCUGAGUAGCACUGAUGCCUAGAAUGUGAAUUCAGAAUGAGGUACAGGACAUAUUCAUGUGUGUUACUCUAAUAUAAGUCACACGACAUUUCUGGAUGGUGGAGAGACUAGUUCCAACUCCCAUUGCAAAGCUACUCCUCCCUCAUACUAAGAACAUUUUUCUACAGUUUUUCUACAGGGCACGUGGGCCACAGCAAAUGCUUAACUGAUACACCAGGCAAUCAGCAUCCCACUCUGCAAGUUGUUUAGCUACAUGCCACACUGCACAGCACCUGCCUCCACCUUUUAUCCUCGGUAAACAUCCAGGAAAUGAGGCAAAUGAAUCCAACUUUAUGAGCUCUCAAUAAUUUCAUGUGCUGUCCUCAUGUGCUCUAGCAUGUUAGCUGGUAAAGAAUGUUAAAGCAUAUUUAAUUCUCCUCUAUUUGCUGCAUCCCCACUGAUGUGAGAAAACACACAACACUACUUAUUGCUUCUUAUAAGUGCUUUUGAACUAAGGACAUGUCAUAACCCUUCUGACAGAAAACAACAUUUUUAUAAGGCUUCUCUUGGAUAGGAACAGUACAAUAGAAUUCACACAACACACAAUUCAGAUUUGUUCCAACUUUUUGUUUCAUUAAGUGCUGACAUUUGAAAAAAUUUCUCAAAGCAUACAUGCCAAACCCUAGGCAGCAGAUGUGGCCCUCACAAACGAUCAGCACCUGAUGUUUCUUUACUCCACCUGCCUGCAGUUAUCAGGUGUCAGACCACAGACAGAACACCAGGUCUUCUGAAAAAAGAGCCUGGCAGGAAGAAAAAUUUGCAUAGGCAGCUCCAAGCAUAGCACUUCUUAUAUUGUGUGACUACCACAUGUGCUGGUUACAUGACCCAAAGACUCACAUGUCAGGAAACAAGAGAAGUGGCAGUCUUUCAGCAAGUGGCAGCAUUUGCAGAAUAUCUUCAGUACAAAACCAAAAUAGGUAUUUAAAAUUUUUUUUUUUUUUUUCUCAGAGCAGAGCUUGCAAUAUGUAAUGUUAUGAUGCUUCUCUAAGUUAACUUUAAUGGCAGGUCGAUUCUUAAUAAUGACUCUUCUGAACUAUUUUCACCUUCCAUAAUUUGCAGGUAAAACAAGUGAAAGGUAAGUCAGAGCAGCAUAUAAAAAAUUGAUGGAAUUUUGUCAUCCUUCAUUGCUUUUGUUUCUUUGAUGGAUCUGCUGCAGAUUAAUGGGACAGGCUAGAAAAUUUUCAAGUAUAUCAGUAAUCAAACUAAAAGUCUUUAAUUUUCACCUUGCCCAUUUCACAAAUGGAACUGGUAUUACUAUUCCAAAGCAAAAAAAUUGGAGGAAAACAGUGGUCAUGUUUAUACUUAGCAACACUCCAAUACUCCAUUUGACAACAGCUGAAUUGCAUUCUUAAAAAAGAAAUUUUUACAUAUUAAACAGAAUUCUCUACAUAAUCCCUGCUAUCUAAUGUAACUGACACAGAAAUGUCACUUGGGGUCUGGGCUAUAUCUUGAAAACCUUGUACAAUCUGACAAUAGCUUCAUCAAAUGAACAUUCAAGCUCUAGUUUUAUCUUUCUUUACAUUCCUUUUAAUCCAAGGACUUGGGAGUGGUUUGUGACAUGUAACUGAAGAAAGCAAAGGAAAGGAAAUCCACUCUUAAUACUGCUUCUUCUUCCAACAAAAUAAUUGUAUCUUACGUCAUAGCAAAUAUUCUCAAAUCUAGAAAUAUGAUAAAUUCUGAAAACCUGUACCAGAAACACUAUUUCUGUACCUGUUUACCAUUUCCCUUGGACAAAAUGCUGUAAUAUCCCAGCACUCUGACCAAGGCCAGGAACAAGUUAACUACCCUUGAAUAAACAUGAUUAUUUCAGGGGAAUGUUCA